This 460-nucleotide ribosomal RNA is filed under the name uncultured bacterium. RNAcentral describes it as "partial 16S ribosomal RNA". It matches the Rfam family "Bacterial small subunit ribosomal RNA", at positions 338 to 795 of the family's 1533-position model. The record is from RNAcentral.
CCUACGGGUGGCUGCAGGGAGGAAUAUUGGCCAAUGGGCGGAAGCCUGAACCAGCCAAGUCGCGUGAGGGAUUAAGGCCCUGCGGGUCGUAAACCUCUUUUGCCGGGGAGCAAAGGUCCGGACGUGUCCGGGCCGGGAGAGUACCCGGAGAAAAAGCAUCGGCUAACUCCGUGCCAGCAGCCUGGGUAAUACGGAGGAUGCGAGGGUUACCCGGAUUUAUUGGGUUUAAAGGGGGUGUAGGCGGGCAUUUAAGCCGGCGGUCAAAUGUCGGGGCUCAACCCCGGCCUGCCGUCGGAACUGGGUGCAUCGAGUGGGCGAGAAGUAGGCGGAAUGCGUGGUGUAGCGGUGAAAUGCAUAGAUAUCACGCAGAACCCCGAUUGCGAAGGCAGCAUACCGGCGCCCUACUGACGCUGAGGCACGAAAGUGCGGGUAUCGAACAGGAUUAGAUACCCUAGUAGUC